Molecule: ribosomal RNA, 486 nt
Filed under: uncultured bacterium
Lineage: Bacteria
Description: partial 16S ribosomal RNA
Rfam family: Bacterial small subunit ribosomal RNA
Source: RNAcentral
AUUGAACGCUGGCGGCAUGCCUUACACAUGCAAGUCGAACGGCAGCACGGGUGCUUGCACCUGGUGGCGAGUGGCGAACGGGUGAGUAAUACAUCGGAACAUGUCCUGUAGUGGGGGAUAGCCCGGCGAAAGCCGGAUUAAUACCGCAUACGAUCUACGGAUGAAAGCGGGGGACCUUCGGGCCUCGCGCUAUAGGGUUGGCCGAUGGCUGAUUAGCUAGUUGGGGGGGUAAAGGCCUACCAAGGCGACGAGCAGUAGCUGGUCUGAGAGGACGACCAGGCACCACGGGACCGGGGACCGGGCCAGACUCCUACGGGAGGCAGCAGUGGGGAAUUUUGGACAAUGGGCGAAAGCCUGAUCCAGCAAUGCCGCGUGUGUGAAGAAGGCCUUCGGGUUGUAAAGCACUUUUGUCCGGAAAGAAAUCCUUGGCCCUAAUACGGUCGGGGGAUGACGGUACCGGAAGAAUAAGCACCGGCUAACUACGUG